AAAAAAAAUAAUAAUAAUAAUUAUUGCAAGAGAAGCAAGGAGGGUAAAGUUAAGGGUGGUAACAGUUACAAGGGAGUUUCAGAUUCUAUAGGAGAUAAAUUAUUGCAUGAGCUUUUGCAUCCACAUAUGAGAAAUCGUAGCCUUGUCUGCUUGAGUCUAUGCCUGCAUUAUCUUUAACCUUUGUGAAGAAAAUAGGUGUGGAAAGAAAAUGGAGGAAGAGAAUGAAGAGAAAGAAAUGAUAGAGGGAGAGAAUAACUUUCUCUUCUCUUUUCUGGAUAGAUGAGAGAAAUUGAGAAAGGAGAAAAUACAAGUUUUUAAUUUUUUUUUAUUAGUUUCAAA
This 339-nucleotide unclassified non-coding RNA is filed under the name Hevea brasiliensis (rubber tree). The record is from RNAcentral. Lineage: Eukaryota; Viridiplantae; Streptophyta; Magnoliopsida; Malpighiales; Euphorbiaceae.